CCUACGGGUGACAGCAGUAGGGAAUAUUGCUCAAUGGGGGAAGCCCUGAAGCAGCAACGCCGCGUGGAGGAUGAAGGUUUUCGGGUUGUAAACUCCUUUUGUUAGAGAAGAUAAUGACGGUAUCUAACGAAUCAGCACCGGCUAACCCCGUGCCAGCAGCCGCGGUAAUACGGCGGGUGCAAGCGUUACUCGGAAUCACUGGGCGGAAAGAGCGCGUAGGCGGGAUAGCAAGUCAGAUGUGAAAUCCUAUGGCUUAACCAUAGAACUGCAUGUGAAACUGUUAUUCUAGAGUAUGGGAGAGGUAGGUGGAAUUCUUGGGGUAGGGGUAAAAUCCGUAGAGAUCAAGAGGAAUACUCAUUGCGAAGGCGACCUGCUAGAACAUAACUGACGCUGAUGCGCGAAAGCGUGGGGAGCAAACAGGAUUAGAUACCCUGGUAGUC
RNAcentral lists this ribosomal RNA (440 nucleotides) under uncultured bacterium. RNAcentral describes it as "partial 16S ribosomal RNA". It matches the Rfam family "Bacterial small subunit ribosomal RNA", at positions 338 to 795 of the family's 1533-position model. The record is from RNAcentral.